This 492-nucleotide ribosomal RNA is filed under the name uncultured bacterium. RNAcentral's name for it is "partial 16S ribosomal RNA". It matches the Rfam family "Bacterial small subunit ribosomal RNA", at positions 29 to 507 of the family's 1533-position model. The record is from RNAcentral.
AGUGAACGCUGGCGGUAGGCCUAACACAUGCAAGUCGAACGGCAGCACAGUAAGAGCUUGCUCUUACGGGUGGCGAGUGGCGGACGAGUGAGGAAUACAUCGGAAUCUACUUUUUCGUGGGGGAUAACGUAGGGAAACUUACGCUAAUACCGCAUACGACCUACGGGUGAAAGCAGGGGAUCUUCGGACCUUGCGCGAUUGAAUGAGCCGAUGUCGGAUUAACUAGUUGGCGGGGUAAAGGCCCACCAAGGCGACGAUCCGUAGCUGGUCUGAGAGGAUGAUCAGCCACACUGGAACUGAGACACGGUCCAGACUCCUACGGGAGGCAGCAGUGGGGAAUAUUGGACAAUGGGCGCAAGCCUGAUCCAGCCAUACCGCGUGGGUGAAGAAGGCCUUCGGGUUGUAAAGCCCUUUUGUUGGGAAAGAAAAGCAGCAGGUUAAUACCCCGCUGUUCUGACGGUACCCAAAGAAUAAGCACCGGCUAACUUCGUG